Molecule: ribosomal RNA, 497 nt
Filed under: uncultured bacterium
Lineage: Bacteria
Description: partial 16S ribosomal RNA
Rfam family: Bacterial small subunit ribosomal RNA
Source: RNAcentral
GAUGAACGCUGGCGGCGUGCCUAAUACAUGCAAGUCGAGCGAACGGACGAGAAGCUUGCUUCUCUGAUGUUAGCGGCGGACGGGUGAGUAACACGUGGAUAACCUACCAAUAAGACUGGGAUAACUUCGGGAAACCGGAGCUAAUACCGGAUAAUAUUUUGAACCGCAUGGUUCAAAAGUGAAAGACGGUCUUGCUGUCACUUAUAGAUGGAUCCGCGCUGCAUUAGCUAGUUGGUAAGGUAACGGCUUACCAAGGCAACGAUGCAUAGCCGACCUGAGAGGGUGAUCGGCCACACUGGAACUGAGACACGGUCCAGACUCCUACGGGAGGCAGCAGUAGGGAAUCUUCCGCAAUGGGCGAAAGCCUGACGGAGCAACGCCGCGUGAGUGAUGAAGGUCUUCGGAUCGUAAAACUCUGUUAUUAGGGAAGAACACAUGUGUAAGUAACUGUGCACAUCUUGACGGUACCUAAUCAGAAAGCCACGGCUAACUACGUG